UACGGGGGGGGCAAGCGUUGUUCGGAAUUACUGGGCGUAAAGGGCUCGUAGGUGGCCAACUAAGUCAGACGUGAAAUCCCUCGGCUUAACCGGGGAACUGCGGCUGAUACUGGAUGGCUUGAGUUCGGGAGAGGGAUGCGGAAUUCCAGGUGUAGCGGUGAAAUGCGCAGAUAUCAGGAGGAACACCGGUGGCGAAGGCGGUUCUCUGGGCAUGUCCUGACGCUGAGGAGCGAAAGUGUGGGGAGCGAACAGG
This 253-nucleotide ribosomal RNA is filed under the name uncultured bacterium. RNAcentral's name for it is "partial 16S ribosomal RNA". It matches the Rfam family "Bacterial small subunit ribosomal RNA", at positions 524 to 776 of the family's 1533-position model. The record is from RNAcentral.